UCCUAUGCAAUCCACGAUCCAUCGGGCUAAAGGCCCGUUGGACUUGCUUUAAAACAACUUGCUCUAAUCAGUUCCUGCUUUGGGGGAGUAUGACAAGUUCCAUGGCACGGGGUCCCAAAAUUUAACAGCCCCCAAAAUAGUUUUAUAUUGAAAGUAGUAAUAUAUAAAAUAAUAUUAUAUAAAUGACAGUAGGCCCAUAAGCCACAAGACUACAUGCCUAUAAACGGAAUUGGAUCCUCUCUGAGGAAAAGCCUUGGGAUCCUCUUGACCGGAUGACACUGGCCGUUGGAUUUUGAUCCAACGGCUACAAUUAUUAUAACUUUAGAGGGACCCCCUCUUUGCAGCCGUGUUGUCCGGUAAGGAGGUGCCUCGGAAAGGAUCCAAUUCCCCUAUAAACCAUCAAUUCAAUACAAAAUUACAUAUAAUUUUAUAAAGCAAUAAUUCUCAUGCUAAUCAAAGUCCACUUCUCUCUUAAACGCCUCCACCCCGCACUGCUGCUUUUGUAUUUCCCCUCUCCACUGUUUUUUUUUUUUUUUUUUUUCUCACAAAUCAUUAAAUCCUAAUUCAUAAUUUCAUGCGCAAUUGGAGAGACCUUUUCAAAUUAUCAAUGACAAUCAAGUGGUCAGAGUGAUGCAUAAACUUUAGAUUUAUAUGUAACCGUCGAUUAUCGUUUACGCUUUAUUAUUCUCACCAAAUUUCAUUUUAUUUAUUUUUUUUUUUGGAAAACAUGAAUUUUUAGUGGAUGUAAAAAACGAACGGUUCAAAUCAUUUAUAUCUUACAUUCCGAUAUUUUAUGGUUAAAUGAAAUAUGAGUUGAUGUUAUAUAGUUUUGAGAGACUUUAUGAACUCCAAGCAAUAUUUUUGGUAAAACUCUAACCGUAAUUUCAAUGAUCCGAAUCAUUCAUCUUUAUGCAUCCUCUAAAAGAACAUGUUUAAAAAAAUUAAAAAAAAAUAUGGUGAGAAGAAUGGAGCGUAUAUGUAAACAACAAUCAACGGUUAAAUUUCGAUCUAUAGUUUAUAUAAGGCUUUUUAGCCAAAAUGGUCCCUGAGAUUUGCAUAACACAUCACUUUGGUCUCUCAGAUUAAAAAUCAAUAGAAAUGGUCCUUGAGAUUGUCCAACAUCCAUUAUUUUGGUCCUUCUGUUAAAAACUUCAUUAAGUGUCCCGGAGCUCUUGUCGAAAGUUUGGGGAAUUUUCAAAGCUUCGUAACUCAAUCGUUUCUUAACUACAUUUGACCCAUAAUAUAUCAAAAUGAAGAUACGAAAAUGUAGAAUAAUAUAAUACCUAUUUGGAAGCCCAAUGGUUGCCAAAUAUGGCCGGAAAAUAGCCUGAAAGGUGUCUAUUAGUGGAAAACUCGUCGGAAACUGGGUAAACUUUAAACGUU
Molecule: long non-coding RNA, 1383 nt
Filed under: Malus domestica (apple)
Lineage: Eukaryota; Viridiplantae; Streptophyta; Magnoliopsida; Rosales; Rosaceae
Description: long non-coding RNA (MDOM_LNC017902)
Source: RNAcentral